GCGUUGUCCGGAUUUAUUGGGCGUAAAGCGUCCGCAGGCGGUGUGAGAAGUUCGAGGUGACAGUGCACGGCUUAACCGCGCAAGGUCCUUGAAAACUGCCACACUUGAGGGCUUCAGAGGGACCCGGAAUUCCGGGUGGAGUGGUGAAAUGCGUAGAGAUCCGGAGGAACACCAAAGGCGCAGGCAGGGUCCUGGGAAGCCACUGACGCUCAUGGACGAAAGCUAG
RNAcentral lists this ribosomal RNA (226 nucleotides) under uncultured bacterium. RNAcentral describes it as "partial 16S ribosomal RNA". It matches the Rfam family "Bacterial small subunit ribosomal RNA", at positions 538 to 763 of the family's 1533-position model. The record is from RNAcentral.